UACGUAGGGCGCAAGCGUUGUCCGGAAUUAUUGGGCGUAAAGAGCUCGUAGGUGGCUUGUCACGUCGGGUGUGAAAGCUUGGGGCUUAACUCCAGGUCUGCAUUCGAUACGGGCUGGCUAGAGGUAGGUAGGGGAGAACGGAAUUCCUGGUGUAGCGGUGAAAUGCGCAGAUAUCAGGAGGAACACCGGUGGCGAAGGCGGUUCUCUGGGCAUGAUCUGACGCUGAGGAGCGAAAGUGUGGGGAGCGAACAGG
Molecule: ribosomal RNA, 253 nt
Filed under: uncultured bacterium
Lineage: Bacteria
Description: partial 16S ribosomal RNA
Rfam family: Bacterial small subunit ribosomal RNA
Source: RNAcentral